UACGGAGGGGGUUAGCGUUGUUCGGAAUUACUGGGCGUAAAGCGCGCGUAGGCGGACCAGAAAGUUGGGGGUGAAAUCCCGGGGCUCAACCCCGGAACGGCCUCCAAAACCCCUGGUCUUGAGUUCGAGAGAGGUGAGUGGAAUUCCGAGUGUAGAGGUGAAAUUCGUAGAUAUUCGGAGGAACACCAGUGGCGAAGGCGGCUCACUGGCUCGAUACUGACGCUGAGGUGCGAAAGUGUGGGGAGCAAACAGG
RNAcentral lists this ribosomal RNA (253 nucleotides) under uncultured bacterium. RNAcentral describes it as "partial 16S ribosomal RNA". It matches the Rfam family "Bacterial small subunit ribosomal RNA", at positions 524 to 776 of the family's 1533-position model. The record is from RNAcentral.